UGCCUUGAUGAGUCUAAAUUCAAAUGAGAUC
Molecule: non-coding RNA, 31 nt
Filed under: Mus musculus (house mouse)
Lineage: Eukaryota; Metazoa; Chordata; Mammalia; Rodentia; Muridae
Source: RNAcentral